AGUUUGAUCCUGGCUCAGAACGAACGCUGGCGGCAUGCCUAACACAUGCAAGUCGAACGAUGCUUUCGGGCAUAGUGGCGCACGGGUGCGUAACGCGUGGGAAUCUGCCCCUUGGUUCGGAAUAACAGCUAGAAAUGGCUGCUAAUACCGGAUGACGACGUAAGUCCAAAGAUUUAUCGCCGAGGGAUGAGCCCGCGUAGGAUUAGCUGGUUGGUGUGGUAAAGGCGCACCAAGGCGACGAUCCUUAGCUGGUCUGAGAGGAUGAUCAGCCACACUGGGACUGAGACACGGCCCAGACUCCUACGGGAGGCAGCAGUGGGGAAUAUUGGACAAUGGGCGCAAGCCUGAUCCAGCAAUGCCGCGUGAGUGAUGAAGGCCUUAGGGUUGUAAAGCUCUUUUACCCGUGAUGAUAAUGACAGUAGCGGGAGAAUAAGCCCCGGCUAACUCCGUGCCAGCAGCCGCGGUAA
Molecule: ribosomal RNA, 467 nt
Filed under: uncultured bacterium
Lineage: Bacteria
Description: bacterial SSU rRNA
Rfam family: Bacterial small subunit ribosomal RNA
Source: RNAcentral